AACGAACGCUGGCGGCAUGCCUAACACAUGCAAGUCGAACGGGAUCCUAGCUUGCUAGGUGAGAGUGGCGGACGGGUGAGUAACACGUGGGAAUCUGCCUUUUGGUUCGGGAUAACCGCGGGAAACUGCGGCUAAUACCGAAUGCCCUCGAGAGAGGAAAGAUUUAUCGCCAGAAGAGGAGCCCGCGUCCGAUUAGGUAGUUGGUGGGGUAAAGGCCUACCAAGCCGACGAUCGGUAGCUGGUCUGAGAGGAUGAUCAGCCACACUGGGACUGAGAUACGGCCCAGACUCCUACGGGAGGCAGCAGUGGGGAAUAUUGGACAAUGGGGGCAACCCUGAUCCAGCAAUGCCGCGUGAGUGAUGAAGGCCUUAGGGUUGUAAAGCACUUUUGUCCGGGAAGAUAAUGACUGUACCGGAAGAAUAAGCCCCGGCUAACUUCGUGCCAGCAGCCGCGGUAAU
Molecule: ribosomal RNA, 458 nt
Filed under: uncultured bacterium
Lineage: Bacteria
Description: bacterial SSU rRNA
Rfam family: Bacterial small subunit ribosomal RNA
Source: RNAcentral